UACCAGCACCCCCGAGUGGUCGGGACGAUUAUUGGGCCUAAAGCAUCCGUAGCCGGUUCUACAAGUCUUCCGUUAAAUCCACCUGCUUAACAGAUGGGCUGCGGAGGAUACUAUAGAGCUAGGAGGCGGGAGAGGCAAGCGGUACUUAGUGGGGUAGGGGUAAAAUCCGUUGAUCCAUUGAAGACCACCAGUGGCGAAGGCGGCUUGCCAGAACGCACUCGACGGUGAGGGAUGAAAGCUGGGGGAGCAAACCGG
This 255-nucleotide ribosomal RNA is filed under the name uncultured bacterium. RNAcentral describes it as "partial 16S ribosomal RNA". It matches the Rfam family "Archaeal small subunit ribosomal RNA", at positions 474 to 727 of the family's 1478-position model. The record is from RNAcentral.